RNAcentral lists this unclassified non-coding RNA (349 nucleotides) under soil metagenome. RNAcentral's name for it is "partial contains 5.8S ribosomal RNA, internal transcribed spacer 2, and large subunit ribosomal RNA". The stretch from base 1 to 120 matches the Rfam family "5.8S ribosomal RNA", at positions 35 to 154 of the family's 154-position model. The record is from RNAcentral.
GAUGAAGAACGUAGUGAAAUGCGAUAAGUAAUGCGAAUUGCAGAAUUCAGUGAAUCAUCGAGUCUUUGAACGCACAUUGCGCCCCCUGGUAUUCCGGGGGGCAUGCCUGUCCGAGCGUCAUUGCUGCCCAUCAAGCACGGCUUGUGUGUUGGGUCGUCGUCCCCUCUCCGGGGGGGACGGGCCCCAAAGGCAGCGGCGGCACCGCGUCCGAUCCUCGAGCGUAUGGGGCUUUGUCACCCGCUCUGUAGGCCCGGCCGGCGCUUGCCGAACGCAAAUCAAUCUUUUUCCAGGUUGACCUCGGAUCAGGUAGGGAUACCCGCUGAACUUAAGCAUAUCAAUAAGCGGAGGA